This is a long non-coding RNA of Alosa alosa (allis shad), 276 nucleotides long. RefSeq lists it as uncharacterized. The transcript has 3 exons. NCBI's taxonomy places the organism in Eukaryota, Metazoa, Chordata, Actinopteri, Clupeiformes, Clupeidae. The record is from RefSeq and is a predicted model, not a curated record.
AUGCGUCUGAAAUGUCAGCUGGAAUGUGAGCCCGGCGAGGAGAGAUGCUUAUUGAUGUCACAGCAAUGAACCUGCUGGAGAGACAGAAGAUGCCAGUGUAAGCUUAGACCUGGCUGGAGUUGACACUGGUGCAGACCAAGUUGUUAAGCCAGCACCCCACUCUGACCAUGACUAUGCUGAACUCUCGGUCACUGCAAGAGCAGCUAGAAGCAGCACGGAAGGAGAUUGCCCGCCUUACGCAGGAGAAUACCAUCCUCAAGGCAUCCUGUUUCAACU